CUGGCGGCGUGCUUAACACAUGCAAGUCGAACGAGAAUCACCGGAAAGAGGAUUCGUCCAAUGGAAGGUGAGGACAGUGGCGGACGGGUGAGUAACGCGUGAGGAACCUGCCUUUCAGAGGGGGACAACAGUUGGAAACGACUGCUAAUACCGCAUAACGCAUCGGAGUCGCAUGGCUCCAAUGCCAAAGAUUUAUCGCUGAAAAGAUGGCCUCGCGUCUGAUUAGCUGGUUGGCGGGGUAACGGCCCACCAAGGCGACGAUCAGUAGCCGGACUGAGAGGUUGAACGGCCACAUUGGGACUGAGAUACGGCCCAGACUCCUACGGGAGGCAGCAGUGGGGAAUAUUGGGCAAUGGGCGCAAGCCCUGACCCAGCAACGCCGCGUGAAGGAAGAAGGCUUUCGGGUUGUAAACUUCUUUUAAGAGGGAAGAGCAGAAGACGGUACCUCUAGAAUAAGCCACGGCUAACUACGUGCCAGCCGCAGC
Molecule: ribosomal RNA, 485 nt
Filed under: uncultured bacterium
Lineage: Bacteria
Description: bacterial SSU rRNA
Rfam family: Bacterial small subunit ribosomal RNA
Source: RNAcentral